AGCCCCCAGAUGGACCCUGAGACAAGAGUCCAGGCCCUACGGGGCGCAGCAGGCGCGAAAACUCCGCAAUGGGCGAAAGCCCGACGGGGUUACCCCGAGUGCCACCCUCGUGGUGGCUUUUGCCCGCUCUAAAAAGGCGGGCGAAUAAGGGGAGGGCAAGUCGGGUGUCAGCCGCCGCGGUAAUACCCGCUCCCCGAGUGGUGGAGGCUAUUACUGGGCCUAAAGCGCCCGUAGCCGGCCCGGUGUGUCCCUCGUUAAAUCCACGGGCCUAACCCGUGGGCUGCGGGGGAUACUACCGGGCUUGGGGGUGGGAGAGGCGCCCGGUAUUCCCGGGGUAGGGGUAAAAUCCUCUGAUCCCGGGAGGACCAUCAGUGGCGAAGGCGGGGCGCCAGAACACGCCCGACGGUGAGGGGCGAAAGCUGGGGGAGCAAACGGGAUUAGAUACCCCGGUAGUCC
RNAcentral lists this ribosomal RNA (456 nucleotides) under uncultured prokaryote. Its description in RNAcentral is "bacterial SSU rRNA". It matches the Rfam family "Archaeal small subunit ribosomal RNA", at positions 287 to 747 of the family's 1478-position model. The record is from RNAcentral.